Molecule: ribosomal RNA, 442 nt
Filed under: uncultured bacterium
Lineage: Bacteria
Description: bacterial SSU rRNA
Rfam family: Bacterial small subunit ribosomal RNA
Source: RNAcentral
GAGCGGAAAGGCCCUUCGGGGUACUCGAGCGGCGAACGGGUGAGUAACACGUGAGUAACCUGCCCUUGGCUAUGGGAUAAGCCCGGGAAACUGGGUCUAAUACCGGAUAUGACUAUCGGCUGCAUGGUUGAUGGUGGAAAGUUUUUCGGCUGGGGAUGGACUCGCGGUCUAUCAGCUUGUUGGUGGGGUAACGGCCUACCAAGGCGACGACGGAUAGCCGGCCUGAGAGGGUGACCGGCCACACUGGGACUGAGACACGGCCCAGACUCCUACGGGAGGCAGCAGUGGGGAAUAUUGCGCAAUGGGCGGAAGCCUGACGCAGCGACGCCGCGUGGGGGAUGAAGGCCUUCGGGUUGUAAACCUCUUUCACCACCGACGAAGCUAACGUGACGGUAGGUGGGGAAGAAGCGCCGGCUAACUACGUGCCAGCAGCCGCGGUAAU